Molecule: long non-coding RNA, 1842 nt
Filed under: Scophthalmus maximus (turbot)
Lineage: Eukaryota; Metazoa; Chordata; Actinopteri; Pleuronectiformes; Scophthalmidae
Description: lncRNA (ENSSMAG00000029039.1)
Source: RNAcentral
GGUUGGGCCUGUUGGUGACGUGGCUGUCUGACCCCGACAACCUUAACCAGCUGGUGCUGAGCCAACUCGACAGAGCAUCUCCCAAAGACUCUGUGGAGGAUCUGUGCGGAUCAGACCCGGAACAAGACUCUUUGUCGUCGCAGGAGGACAAAGACGAGGGGGAGGUCAGGGAAGUGUGAGUGUCUGUAAUCCUUUGCACCCUGCUGACAUGACCUGGUCAUAGUGAGCAUCAAAGCAACGACCAUGUUGGACACCUUCUGUCUGAGAAAUUGGAACUGACUGGGUUUUGGCUGGUUUUUGGUUUUCUAGGAACUUGGAGGGAGAAGAGAUUUCAAAUGGCACCAGCAUCAAGGGCAAAAGGAAAGGCAACAAGUUAAAGAAAGGCUGGUCCAAAUUUGUCGACAAGAUGAAGUCUAAGAAGGCCAAGAAGAAGAAGAUGAAAAUGAUGGAGCAGAAGCUGAUGAUGAGGAUCAUUGCGAGCCAGGAUAACGCGUCCAACGAGGACGAUGUCAGCAGCAGGGAGGGCUCAAUUUACAGCCAGCAGGACUCUGACAGGGCCGCCUGGGAGGAUGAGGAGCUCAUCUUCACCGUUCACCUGGAGGAGAACAACAGCCCGGAGAACCUACAGUGGGACAUCAGGAAGACCUACAUGGAUGUGAUAUAUUUUCGCAACAGAUGGCAGGUAAAAGGCCAAUACAACAGCACUGUAAUAAACACAUAUAUAUCUCUCUGAGGGUAGGCUAAAUCACACACACACACACACACACACACACACACACACACACACACACACACACACACACACACACACACACACACACACACACACACACACACACACACACACACACACACACACACACACACACAAUGAGUUCAAUCAACUACUCUAAAAUGGAACAUUAGAACACUCAUGAAGGUUGUAAUUAUUGAAGGUCUGUUGCAUUAGACUGCACCUGUUUUAAUGAUAAACUGGCAAAUUAAUGUCUGCAUGCUGUAAAAACAAUUUAACUGAAAAAUGUAUCUUCACAAAAAAUCUCACUUCAGACAAACUUUAAUCUUCUUGGUGUUUAUUUAAGCUUUUUCUGAAAGUGAAAAAGCAUUUCCAUGCUUAAUAUGGGUGUGUCACUGCAGUCCUUGCAUUGAACCACUGACUAACCACUAUUGUGAUGCACAUGGGGAAUAAUGCCAAAAUAUUUACAUCAUUAUACUGUAGCUGUUUGAACAAUGAGGCAGUAUCAGAAAAGCAAUGUGUUAAUUGGGAAAAACCUUCCAGCCCAGUAGUUCUUCAUCUUACAAGGUAACACUAUUUGGAUGUUACUAUUUUGCAACCAGUGAGUCGCCCUCUGCUGGUGAUUCCAGAGAAUACCGCAUUGGAUUCAUUUUCCGGACUACGUCCAUUGUUAUAUACAGUCUGUGUGUCAGACAUGAACAUAUAACGAAUGCCGACAUUUUCAUCACAAAGCAUUCGUUUUAAUCAGAGUGCUACUGGUUCUACUGCGACCUCUGGUGGCAAUAAAUAUUGAAUAUUUAACCAUUAACAGAGGAUUCUCUGCAUAGAAAGUUGCCAGCAUUUUUUCAAGAGCUGUGUUAACUCCUUAUUAUGUAUUCAGCAUGAGCCUGGAGGAGAAACACUGCUCCCAGACUUGUUUCACAAGUCUGGGAUUCAGCUUUUGGCACUUUUCAGGACUCAACCACCCUGCCCACAAUCCUGGAACUGGAGCAGUCCGAGGUCAACAGUGGGGUUAAAGACGAGGCUAGAGUGUCAGUGGAGCACUUUCUGCAGGUGAAAGAAACAAAAAUCUUAGACGUGUUAACAGAUUAUCACUUUGUGACUCAACA